Gossypium raimondii (Peruvian cotton) is the source of this 84-nucleotide non-coding RNA. Lineage: Eukaryota; Viridiplantae; Streptophyta; Magnoliopsida; Malvales; Malvaceae. The record is from Rfam.
AGGUCGAUGCCCGAGCGAUUAAUAGGGACGGACUGUAAAUUCGUUGGCAAUAUGUCUACGCUGGUUCAAAUCCAGCUCGGCCCA